GCCAAAUUAAGGUGAAACCGCGAAAGGCUCAUUAAAUCAGUUAUGGUUCCUUAGAUCGUACCCACAUUUACUUGGAUAACUGUGGUAAUUCUAGAGCUAAUACAUGCAAAUAGAGCUCCGACCGGAGACGGAAGGAGUGCUUUUAUUAGAUCAAAACCAAUCGGCGACGGGUCAAACCGUUGUCGUAAUAUUUGGUGACUCUGAAUAACUUUUUGCUGAUCGCACGGUCUAGCACCGGCGACGCAUCUUUCAAAUGUCUGCCUUAUCAACUGUCGAUGGUAGGUUCUGCGCCUACCAUGGUUGUAACGGGUAACGGGGAAUCAGGGUUCGAUUCCGGAGAGGGAGCCUGAGAAACGGCUACCACAUCCAAGGAAGGCAGCAGGCGCGCAAAUUACCCACUCCCGGCACGGGGAGGUAGUGACGAAAAAUAACGAUACGGGACUCAUCCGAGGCCCCGUAAUCGGAAUGAGUACACUUUAAAACCUUUAACAAGGAUCAAUUGGAGGGCAAGUCUGGUGCCAGCAGCCGCGGUAAUUCCAGCUCCAAUAGCGUAUAUUAAAGUUGUUGCGGUUAAAAAGCUCGUAGUCGAAUCUGUGUCCCGCGCCGUCGGUUCACCGCUCGCGGUGUUUAACUGGCGUGUCCGUGGGACGUCCUGCCGGUGGGCUUAGUCUUUCGGGGCUGCCCAACUUAAAAUCCCAUCGCGGUGCUCUUCAUUGAGUGUCGAGGUGGGCCGGCACGUUUACUUUGAACAAAUUAGAGUGCUUAAAGCAGGCUAAAAUUUCGCCUGAAUACUGUGUGCAUGGAAUAAUGGAAUAGGACCUCGGUUCUAUUUUGUUGGUUUUCGGAACCCCGAGGUAAUGAUUAAUAGGAACGGAUGGGGGCAUUCGUAUUGCGACGUUAGAGGUGAAAUUCUUGGAUCGUCGCAAGACGGACAGAAGCGAAAGCAUUUGCCAAAAACGCUUUCAUUGAUCAAGAACGAAAGUUAGAGGUUCGAAGGCGAUCAGAUACCGCCCUAGUUCUAACCAUAAACGAUGCCAGCUAGCGAUCCGCCGACGUUCCUCCGAUGACUCGGCGGGCAGCUUCCGGGAAACCAAAGCUUUUGGGUUCCGGGGGAAGUAUGGUUGCAAAGCUGAAACUUAAAGGAAUUGACGGAAGGGCACCACCAGGAGUGGAGCCUGCGGCUUAAUUUGACUCAACACGGGAAACCUCACCAGGCCCGGACACCUGAAGGAUUGACAGAUUGAGAGCUCUUUCUUGAUUAGGUGGGUGGUGGUGCAUGGCCGUUCUUAGUUGGUGGAGCGAUUUGUCUGGUUAAUUCCGAUAACGAACGAGACUCUAACCUAUUAACUAUAAAAUUAA
RNAcentral lists this ribosomal RNA (1359 nucleotides) under Ochthebius meridionalis. Its description in RNAcentral is "SSU rRNA". It matches the Rfam family "Eukaryotic small subunit ribosomal RNA", at positions 69 to 1366 of the family's 1831-position model. Lineage: Eukaryota; Metazoa; Arthropoda; Insecta; Coleoptera; Hydraenidae. The record is from RNAcentral.